RNAcentral lists this ribosomal RNA (520 nucleotides) under uncultured Glomus. RNAcentral describes it as "SSU rRNA". It matches the Rfam family "Eukaryotic small subunit ribosomal RNA", at positions 569 to 1091 of the family's 1831-position model. The record is from RNAcentral. Lineage: Eukaryota; Fungi; Glomeromycota; Glomeromycetes; Glomerales; Glomeraceae.
CGCAGCCGCGGUAACUCCAGCUCCAAUAGCGUAUAUUAAAGUUGUUGCAGUUAAAAAGCUCGUAGUUGAAUUUCGGGGUCAGUAGGUUGGUCGUGCCACUGGUAUGUACUGGCCUUACUGAUUCCUCCUUCCUGAUGAACCGUAAUGCCAUUAAUUUGGUGUUGCGGGGAAUCUGGACUGUUACUUUGAAAAAAUUAGAGUGUUUAAAGCAGGCUAACGCUUGAAUACAUUAGCAUGGAAUAAUGGAAUAGGACGUUCGAUCCUAUUUUGUUGGUUUCUAGGAUUGACGUAAUGAUUAAUAGGGAUAGUUGGGGGCAUUAGUAUUCAAUUGUCAGAGGUGAAAUUCUUGGAUUUAUUGAAGACUAACUACUGCGAAAGCAUUUGCCAAGGAUGUUUUCAUUAAUCAAGAACGAAAGUUAGGGAUCGAAGACGAUCAGAUACCGUCGUAGUCUUAACCAUAAACUAUGCCGACUAAGGAUCGGACGAUGUUAAUUUUUAAUGUACUCGUUCGCGCCUUACG